GCCCCUGUGGCUCAGUGGUAGAGCGACUGACUUGUAAUCAGUAGGUCCUGGGUUCAAUUCCCAGCGGGGGCA
Molecule: transfer RNA, 72 nt
Filed under: Nanobdellota archaeon
Lineage: Archaea; Nanobdellati; Nanobdellota
Description: tRNA-Thr
Rfam family: tRNA
About the family: Transfer RNA (tRNA) molecules are approximately 80 nucleotides in length. Their secondary structure includes four short double-helical elements and three loops (D, anti-codon, and T loops).
Source: RNAcentral